RNAcentral lists this ribosomal RNA (513 nucleotides) under uncultured bacterium. RNAcentral describes it as "partial 16S ribosomal RNA". It matches the Rfam family "Bacterial small subunit ribosomal RNA", at positions 28 to 507 of the family's 1533-position model. The record is from RNAcentral.
GACGAACGCUGGCGGCGUGCUUAACACAUGCAAGUCGAACGAGAGCGUAGAGAAAGCUUGCUUUUUCUACAAUCUAGUGGCAAACGGGUGAGUAACGCGUAAACAACCUGCCCUACGGAUGGGGACAACAGCUGGAAACGGCUGCUAAUACCGAAUACGUUCCGAAAGUCGCAUGACUAUCGGAAAAACGGAUGGCCUCUCUUUAUAAGCUAUCGCCGGAGGAGGGGUUUGCGUCUGAUUAGCUAGUUGGAGGGGUAACGGCCCACCAAGGCGACGAUCAGUAGCCGGUCUGAGAGGAUGAGCGGCCACAUUGGAACUGAGACACGGUCCAGACUCCUACGGGAGGCAGCAGUGGGGAAUCUUCCGCAAUAGGCGAAAGCCUGACGGAGCAACGCCGCGUGAGUGAAGACGGCCUUCGUGUUGUAAAGCUCUGUUAUACGGGACGAAUAAUCUUGUGGUUAAUACCCAUGAGAAGUGACGGUACCGUAAGAGAAAGCCACGGCUAACUACGUG